This is a non-coding RNA of Parelaphostrongylus tenuis, 75 nucleotides long. The record is from the annotation of a GenBank genome assembly. NCBI's taxonomy places the organism in Eukaryota, Metazoa, Nematoda, Chromadorea, Rhabditida, Metastrongylidae.
ACGAGCUCGGUAGUGCAACGGUUAGCAUACGCUCCCGGAAAGAGUGAGAUCUGGGUUCGAAUUCCGGCUGACGCA